This 334-nucleotide small nuclear RNA is filed under the name Cricetulus griseus (Chinese hamster). RNAcentral's name for it is "7SK RNA (ENSCGRG00001005570.1)". It matches the Rfam family "7SK RNA". From Rfam's summary of the family: 7SK was discovered as an abundant small nuclear RNA in the mid-70s but a possible function has only recently been suggested. Two independent studies have found that 7SK RNA binds the CDK9/cyclin T complex (known as elongation factor P-TEFb). The record is from RNAcentral. Lineage: Eukaryota; Metazoa; Chordata; Mammalia; Rodentia; Cricetidae.
CGAUGAGAAGGCAGUGUGGCUGCAACAUCGUCACCCCAUUGAUCCACCAGGGAUUAAUUAAUUAAUUAAUUCAGAUGAUCUGGGGAGGUCUCUUUUCCUCACUGCUCCAUGUAUGUCCCUCCUAAAGCUAUAUGCUCCCUUCCUGGAAUGAAAGAGAACCAGCCUCUGUCAAGGGUAUUCCGACAGCUGCACUCCCUGCUAGAACCUCCUGUACAAUACCAGGAGAGGACAGCACAAUUGACAGGGUCAUGGGAAAGAUUUAAGUAGAAGAUGGAUAGCGCAACAACCCCCAUGGGAGAGAUUGUGCCUAGUGUGCACAAGACACAAGUUUGGU